UUAAGAUGUUUAGAAUGGACUGAGGGGAAAAAUUGUUAGCUUUUAUUGGGAUGUGUGCCUUGUAGGUGUCCCACGGGAUCACCAAUUAUUCUGCACCCUUCGGGAGCAUUAGACUGAUAGGUGUUUCUGCAGAACACUAGACUGAAAUGUACGUCCCUCGGGGCGUUAGACUGAAAUGUGCAUCCUACGGGAUCACAAGACUGCGACUGUACAGGGUGUCCCAAUAGAAUGUUAACAAUUUAUUUUCCCCUGACGGGACCAGUAGAGGGUCUCUUACUGGGUAUUUUUAUACUCACCCUCCUUAUGUUUAAUUUUUCAGGCAAAGGUAAUAAAGGCGGUAAACCGGCGAGGGGCAGGAAGGAAGCGUGAUUGCCAUAGGGGAUAUUUUAAUUUGCUUCCGCUUAAUGUUUUGUUUCUCGUGUUUUGUUUUAGUACUUGAGAUUGUUUAGAAAAUUUUAUAGUUGAACUGCAUUCAUGAAUUGGUAAACCUUUCUUGAAAGUGUUGGUUAUUUUAAAUAGGGCCCAUAUAUAAAUUUUUGCUUUCUUUGAGACUUUGAAAUUAUUUGAAAUUGAGAUUUUGUGUAAACUCAGGUCUUUGUUUGAAAUUAAUGACUUCGACUUACUUAGAAAAGUUGGGUCGUUACAAAUGUAUAUUAUGCCAGACUGAUAUAGAAGUAGAUACGAUGGAUAAUGUAUUUGUAAACUGAGAAAGGUGUUAUGUAUAUAUAUAUAUAUCUUGACUGUCUGGUGUGUUGUUAUAGUAUCAACUGAUUUUGUGAUAGAUUGAAUAGAUUGAACGUAAGUGUGUUAAGUUGGAUUGAUGAUAUGAUGGAGUAGUUUGACUAUACUAGGAAUGGAUUGAUUAAAUGUUUAUGACAGACUAAGGGAAAAUUGUUAGCUUUGUCGAUUGGGUAGUGUGCCUUGCAGGUGUCCUAUGGGAUCACCACCUGUUGUGCAUUCUUCGAGAGCACUAGAAUGACAUGUGCAUUCUUCGAGAGCAAUAGACUGACAUGUGCAUUCUUCGAGAGCACUAGACUGAUAUGUGCUUUCUGCAGAGCACUAGACUAAUAUUUGUGUCCUUUAGGGCAUUGGACUGAUUAUGUGUAUUCCUACAUGAUCACAAGACUUUUAAAGUGCAGGGCACCUCCAAUAGGAAGUUAACAAUUUUAUUUUUCUUCUAACAGGAUCAGUAGUACUGGGUAUGUUUAUACUCACCCUUUUAUGUUUAAUCUUUUUCCGUGAAACUGCCAUAGGGAAAUGUCCUUCAAAUUGCUUCAACUUUAUAUUUUUUUUUAUUUUGGUUUUCUUUAGUAAUUGAGACUGUUUUGGGUUUCAUGAUUGAACGACUUUUAUGUUCUUGAACAUUCUUUAUUAUCGAUACUUUUACACUUUCAAAAUUUUAUUUGAAAUAGAGCCCGAAUAAAAACUCUUUAAUGUUGUUAAAAAAUAUAUUUUUUUAAAUUAUAAAGUCUUAUGGUUAAAGGACGAAUCUAGUCUUAAAGUAAUAACUUCAGCUUAAUUCGAAAAAUUAGGUCGUUACAAUCUAUUUUGCAGAAAAGAAAAUCAUCGAUUUUAUUUUCGUUAAGAAAAGUUGUUUUUCUUCUACAUAUUUAUAACUCUUUUUCUUUCAUUGAGUAGGAGACGGGGUAGGAGAAAAUCAUAGGAUUCUAUUAAAUUGAUGUGUGAAUUGAUGUGGAUUGCCGAAAGUAUACAUGUGAAUGACUGAAAUUAUGCUUAUGUGUACAUGAUGAUAUUAAUAGAUUGUGCUGUAUAAAGAUUUGGAUGUGAACUAGUGAAUUUGAUUCGGUUGGAUGUGGAUUAUACUGAACUGUGGUUUGCGCUGGUAAAAAUGAGGGGUGUUGUGACUUUGUGGUUUACUUGACGAAUGUAUUAAAAUGUUAUCAACGACCUUCGAACAUAAGUGAGAUAGGUUGACUGUUAGAAUGUUGAGUGAAAGAACUUUAUAUUUUGAAGUAACUGAAAGAUGUCAUAAAUUACCGUAAAUAUGGUUAGAAUGGAUUGAGGGGAAAAAUUGUUAGUUUUACUAGGAUGUAUGCCUUGUAGGUGUCCUACGGGAUCACCAAUUUUUAUGCGACCUUCGGAGAAUUAGACUGAUAUGUGUUUCUGCAGAACACUAGACUGAAAUGUACGUCCCUCGGGGCGUUAGACUGAAAUGUGCAUCCUAUGGGAUCACAAGACUGCGACUGUAUAGGGUGUCCCAAUAGAAUGUUAACAAUUUAUUUUCCCCUGACGGGAGGGGGACCAGUCGAGGGUCUCUUACUGGAUAUUUUUAUACUCACCCUCCUUAUGUUUAAUUUUUCAGGCAAAGGUAAUAAAGGCGGCAA
This 2345-nucleotide long non-coding RNA is filed under the name Cucumis sativus (cucumber). Its description in RNAcentral is "long non-coding RNA (CSAT_LNC001954)". The record is from RNAcentral. Lineage: Eukaryota; Viridiplantae; Streptophyta; Magnoliopsida; Cucurbitales; Cucurbitaceae.